This is a non-coding RNA of Flagelloscypha sp. PMI_526, 90 nucleotides long. Lineage: Eukaryota; Fungi; Basidiomycota; Agaricomycetes; Agaricales; Niaceae. The record is from the annotation of a GenBank genome assembly.
GGGCACAUGGUGUAGUUGGUUAUCACGUUCGCUUCGCACUUGUUCAAGUUGUACUGCGAAAGGUGUUGGGUUCAAUUCCCAAUGUGUCCA